RNAcentral lists this unclassified non-coding RNA (314 nucleotides) under fungal sp. RNAcentral's name for it is "partial contains 5.8S ribosomal RNA, internal transcribed spacer 2, and large subunit ribosomal RNA". The stretch from base 1 to 105 matches the Rfam family "5.8S ribosomal RNA", at positions 50 to 154 of the family's 154-position model. The record is from RNAcentral. RNAcentral also lists the same sequence under 1 other name. Lineage: Eukaryota; Fungi.
GAAAUGCGAUACGUAAUGUGAAUUGCAGAAUUCAGUGAAUCAUCGAGUCUUUGAACGCACAUUGCGCCCCCUGGUAUUCCGGGGGGCAUGCCUGUCCGAGCGUCAUUGCUGCCCUCAAGCACGGCUUGUGUGUUGGGCUUCGCCCCCCGUUCUUCGGGGGGCGGGCCCGAAAGGCAGCGGCGGCACCGCGUCCGGUCCUCGAGCGUAUGGGGCUUUGUCACCCGCUCUGUAGGCCCGGCCGGCGCCCGCCGGCGACCCCAAAUCAAUCUAUCCAGGUUGACCUCGGAUCAGGUAGGGAUACCCGCUGAACUUAA